UUCUGGUUGAUCCUGCCAGAGGUUACUGCUAUCGAGGUUCGACUAAGCCAUGCGAGUCGAAUGUAGCAAUACAUGGCGUACUGCUCAGUAACACGUGGAUAACCUGCCCUUAGGACGGGGAUAACCCGGGAAACUGGGUAUAAUACCCGAUAGAUCUCGAUUGCUGGAAUGCAUCGAGAUCUAAAGCUCCGGCGCCUAAGGAUGGAUCUGCGGCCUAUCAGGUAGUAGUGGGUGUAGCGUACCUACUAGCCUACGACGGGUACGGGUUGUGAGAGCAAGAGCCCGGAGAUGGAUUCUGAGACACGAAUCCAGGCCCUACGGGGUGCAGCAGGCGCGAAAACUUUACAAUGCUGGCAACAGCGAUAAGGGGACCUCGAGUGCCAGGUUACAAAUCUGGCUGUCGUGAUGCCUAAAAAGCAUUGCAUAGCAAGGGCCGGGCAAGACCGGUGCCAGCCGCCGCGGUAACACCGGCGGCUCGAGUGGUAACCGUUAUUAUUGGGUCUAAAGGGUCUGUAGCCGGCCGGAUAAGUCUCUUGGGAAAUCUGGCAGCUUAACUGUCAGGCUUUCAGGAGAUACUGUCUGGCUCGAGGCCGGGAGAGGUGAGAGGUACUUCAGGGGUAGGGGUGAAAUCUUGUAAUCCUUGAAGGACCACCAGUGGCGAAGGCGUCUCACCAGAACGGACCUGACGGCAAGGGACGAAAGCUAGGGGCACGAACCGGAUUAGAUACCCGGGUAGUCCUAGCCGUAAACGAUACUCGCUAGGUGUCGGCCACGGUGCGACCGUUGUCGGUGCCGUAGGGAAGCCGUGAAGCGAGCCACCUGGGAAGUACGGCCGCAAGGCUGAAACUUAAAGGAAUUGGCGGGA
Molecule: ribosomal RNA, 865 nt
Filed under: uncultured Methanosaeta sp.
Lineage: Archaea; Methanobacteriati; Methanobacteriota; Methanomicrobia; Methanotrichales; Methanotrichaceae
Description: bacterial SSU rRNA
Rfam family: Archaeal small subunit ribosomal RNA
Source: RNAcentral